UGCAUGUCUAAGCAUAAAGUCCUUGAAAGAUGAAGCUGCGAACGGCUCAUUACAACAGUUAUAAUCUUUUUGAUGAAGUACGUACAAGGAUAUCUUUGAGAAUGUCAAAGCUAAUACUUGACGGUUUACACCUCCUGUCGAGUCUACUCCUUUUAGGGGUAAAAUCGAUAGGGGCGGGGGAGGCUUCAUGCAUCCUCUACAUAUUACCACCAUUUUUUGAAUAAGGGUGGAUAUAUGCCAAGAGAAUUGUAGAAAUCGAAAGAUUUUCACAAGUCAUCAUUAAGAAUAUCUGACCUAUCAACUGGUCGUUGGUAAGGUAGUGGCUUACCAAGGUAAUAACGGGUAACGAGGAAUAAGGGUUCGACAUCGGAGAGGGAGCUUUAGAAAUGGCUACCACUUCUAAGGAAGGCAGCAGGCGCGAAAAUUACCCAAUCUUAUCAAAUGAAGGAGGUAGUGACGACAAUUAACGCUAUCUCUCGUCUUUUGGCGAGGAUCGUCGGAAUGAUUUCGAUUUAAAAUAUCGAAAGAAAGCAAUUGGAGGGCAAGUCUGGUGCCAGCAGCCGCGGUAAUUCCAGCUCC
Molecule: ribosomal RNA, 579 nt
Filed under: Entamoeba sp.
Lineage: Eukaryota; Evosea; Mastigamoebida; Endamoebidae
Description: bacterial SSU rRNA
Rfam family: Eukaryotic small subunit ribosomal RNA
Source: RNAcentral